RNAcentral lists this ribosomal RNA (491 nucleotides) under uncultured bacterium. RNAcentral describes it as "partial 16S ribosomal RNA". It matches the Rfam family "Bacterial small subunit ribosomal RNA", at positions 28 to 507 of the family's 1533-position model. The record is from RNAcentral.
GAUGAACGCUGGCUACAGGCUUAACACAUGCAAGUCGAGGGGAAACGACGGGGAAGCUUGCUUCCCCGGGCGUCGACCGGCGCACGGGUGAGUAACGCGUAUCCAACCUGCCUCUGACUGAGGGAUAACCCGUCGAAAGUCGGCCUAAUACCUCAUGGCAUCGUCUGCGGGCAUCCAACGACGAUUAAAGAUUUCAUCGGUCAGGGAUGGGGAUGCGUCUGAUUAGCUUGUUGGCGGGGUAACGGCCCACCAAGGCUACGAUCAGUAGGGGUUCUGAGAGGAAGGUCCCCCACAUUGGAACUGAGACACGGACCAAACUCCUACGGGAGGCAGCAGUGAGGAAUAUUGGUCAAUGGGCGGGAGCCUGAACCAGCCAAGUAGCGUGCAGGAUGACGGCCCUAUGGGUUGUAAACUGCUUUUAUGCGGGGAUAAAGUGAGGGACGUGUCCUUCAUUGCAGGUACCGCAUGAAUAAGGACCGGCUAAUUCCGUG